This 2176-nucleotide long non-coding RNA is filed under the name Mus musculus (house mouse). Its description in RNAcentral is "long non-coding RNA chr4:4231547-4233723". The record is from RNAcentral. Lineage: Eukaryota; Metazoa; Chordata; Mammalia; Rodentia; Muridae.
UGAGGGGAGGCAGGCGACACACCUCUUCUUCAAAGUAGUCACAAAUGCUUCAGAAAGUAUCACUCUCUGAGUAAGUUCAGCCUCUAGGUUGCCAGAAUGAGAGGAAGAGAAGGAACUUGGUUUGAGAUCAUGUCACAUGGCUGAGAAUGUGCCAGUUUUUUGUAACCUUGCUGAUCAGAAAGUGAAAUAUUCAUGGUGUCCCACAUGGCUCCCUAUUUCCAGCAUUGCAGUGACUCAUUUCAAGGCUGCCACUCUGUCAUGCUUCAGAGCCAUGCUGAUGACGGACAUUUUGUUCUCUAUGCAUAGCCUCCUUCAACAAUAGGGAGAUUUCAUCUUACGACUGUCAGGAGAAUGUAUUCGUGCCAUGCAUGCUUCUUGGGGGAUAUUUAUUAGACUAGAUUAAUCUUAUAAUGUUCAACAGAGUUUCAGCUGAGGAAUAGGAUGUUCAGUAACAGAAAGGAAGGGGUAGAUCUGUCCCAGGAGAGACUUGGCAGGGUUGCUUGCACAGGUGAACACAGCCCAGGGUGGCUUCAGUGUUCCCAUUGUUCGGAGUAGGUGGUAUUGAAGGUCUACCUGUAAAAAGUGACUUUGAGAAGACUGCUUUGUUCUAUGUCCACUCUCUUUUUGACUCUGGGACCUAUGGAGCUCUGACAGUGUGACAUGAUCAUUUGAGUCAUGAAUACAGCAGGAUGGCAGAUAUGACUGAAGUGUUUUCCAGAAGCAAUUUUGAGUGCCGAAUGUGCUCCGACAAGAUCCAUGUCUGCCAGUGUUCCAGUGCUUUCUGUCUUCUUAACUUAGACAGAGGUCAUAAAGUUAUCAGCUGGCAGACUGUUGACCCUUCGUCAGCAGGAGCAAUGCUACCUACAGACCAAGAAGGAAACAUCUUUCAUAUUCUUUAUGCAAAUUAACAAUUUCUCCUUUUUUCUUUUCGUAAAGCUGAUUUACUAUUUUUUUUAAUUUGACAAGUUUAUGCUUAUAUGCAAUGUGAUAUUAUCAUUCUUCCAUUACUUUCUAUUGCUCUCCAUCUCAAAAACUGUUAACUUCCUAUGUCAACUUGAGGUAAGUCUCUCCAUAAACAGCUCAUUGGAAGUAAAAGUAAGAGGAACAUUUCUUGGCAAGCAUGCAAUAAAAACAGAGAUUACUUUCUUAUUUCAAAUCCCUGUAUGUACUGCUUAGUGGCACCAGUCUUUUAAAGCUCCACACUCCAAGAUGGGGAAGGAUUUGCAUGGGCCUCAUCCCUACUCUGCUUGUUAUUUGGACCACCCUUGGUUGUCCAUUAUUUCUAUCCUGUCACUUAUCUAUAUUCAUCACAUUCUAUUAAGAUCAUUUUUUUCUUAACCUAAAUGUCUGAUAUUUCCCCACUCUUUAAUUCUCAGGCUAUAAUUAUCAUCAGGUUAUAUUUCCCUAUGCUUACUUAUAAUAUUUCCAAAGCAUAAAAAACUGUAAAAUGCACAGCCUAUUUCUAUAAUCCUCAUGGUUGGUAGAGAUAUAUAGUACUCUUCUUGAGUAGGAUAAACUCUUAGGACCAAUUUUUUUCUUCAAAUGACAUUUAGCUUUCUACUGUAUUUUUUUUUGUUUGUUUGUUUGUUUGUGUUUUUACUCAUAGUUCUUUGUAUAUUCAAAUAUAAAAUGUGAUGCACUUUUUAUUGUUCUAGAAAAAGAAGCAAUCAUGGUGAGAACACAGGGGAGAGGAAAACAUCUCAUAGCAAGACAAGAAGUCAGAGAGAUUCAAGGGUUAACCAACAUUGUUCUUGUAAGAAGGGCUCACAACCCAGUGACUGUCUGGAGUCACUUGGAAUAGAUGUUAAUCUUUUCAUAGGGUAAUAUCGGUAAUGACCUAGCCACUUGGUCACCAAGCCUACCUCUUGAAGUUGUGUCACCUCAACACUGCCUCAUUGGGAUCCAAAUCUCAGAUUGUGACUUUGACAACAUCACCAUGCCUUGUUGGACAAACAUACCCACAGCCAAGACCUCCCUAUUCUGCUUUAAUUCCUCUUAACUGAGGGUUUUUCAGGGAACUGUUUCCUUCUGAAAAUCUCCCUCCUCUGUGUAGACAUAGUUUAAAGUCUGAAUAAGGUUGCAUUCCCUCAGGAAACCUAUGUAAAAGAUGGAAGCAUGCUUGUAUGUUCUGUACCGAUUCACCAUACACUGAACUUUAGCACAAUUGCCUUAGAAA